Molecule: ribosomal RNA, 252 nt
Filed under: uncultured Bacteroidales bacterium
Lineage: Bacteria; Pseudomonadati; Bacteroidota; Bacteroidia; Bacteroidales
Description: partial 16S ribosomal RNA
Rfam family: Bacterial small subunit ribosomal RNA
Source: RNAcentral
UACGGGGGAUGCGAGCGUUAUCCGGAUUUAUUGGGUUUAAAGGGUGCGUAGGCGGAGUGUCAAGUCAGCGGUAAAAUUUCGGGGCUCAACCCCGUCGAGCCGUUGAAACUGGCAGACUUGAGUUGGCGAGAAGUACGCGGAAUGCGCGGUGUAGCGGUGAAAUGCAUAGAUAUCGCGCAGAACUCCGAUUGCGAAGGCAGCGUACCGGCGCCAGACUGACGCUGAGGCACGAAAGCGUGGGUAGCAAACAGG